Molecule: RNA transcript, 1066 nt
Organism: Rattus rattus (black rat)
Lineage: Eukaryota; Metazoa; Chordata; Mammalia; Rodentia; Muridae
Gene name: zinc finger protein 431-like
Exons: 3
Source: RefSeq, a predicted model, not a curated record
UAUAUACUACAUUUUCUAUGUCCAUUCCUCUGUUGAGGGACAUCUGGUGAAUAUUAGUAUCUUGCCUGUGUGUAUGAAUAUGCAUGUGAUGUGUGCCUGUUCCUCAUAGUAGUCAGAACAUGACCUCAGAAUUCCUGAAGUUGGAAUAGUAGGUAGUUAUUAGUCACCUUGUAAGUACAGUUGAUUCCAAUUAUUUGCAAGACUAGCAAGAGCACUUAUUUUACUGGUAAGCCAUCAUUCCUGCCCUAUGUUGCUUAUUUAUGAUUAACAUUUAUAUUUCUAAUGUUUUAUCCAUGUAUUCAUAACUGUAAGCAUGCAUUUCCUAUUAGUAAGCUCUUACUAAUAUUACAGUUUAAACUGGGGCACUUAAAGUUUCAGGAAGAUGAAUACAGAACUGUAUUCAAUUUUAUAUCUUUGCAGGAACUUCAGUAAAGACCUCUGAGUUCUUUCUAUUUUGUUUGUUUAAUUGAUUCUUGCAGGGGAAUCAAGGUCUUAAUAUAUACCUCUGCAUGCCCUGUGUCCCAUUACAUGGACUAGCCUGGCAUCCACCUCAAUGAGAUAGAUUUGUCUCUGGCUCCUGAUUGCUGGGAUUAAAGGCGUGAGCAAGUGUUUCUCUUGCAAGAGUAUAUCUUAUUCAAAGGGCAGAGAAAUGACAAGGGUCACUAUCCUCUUCAGUUCUCUUCAAAAAUUGCUUGGUAAUUCCAUUAUAACAUCCGUAUUAUGGAAUAGACGUUGGAAGUACCAGAAUUAUAAGAAUGUAUUGUCAAUGUAGUAUACAUUGAGAGUGCUGCCAGUAACAGCCUUUUUGUUGUACACAUGUUUGAGAUAUUUAGGAUGCAGUGACCUUUAACGAUGUGCAUGUGGACUUCACUUCCGAAGAGUGGGCUUUGUUGGAUCCUUCCCAGAAAGGUCUUUACAAAGAUGUGAUGCUGGAGACCUACUGGAACCUCACUGCUAUAGACCUGAAAGAAGUCAUACUGAAGAGAAACCCUAUGAAGAUAUGAAGUGUGGUGAAGCCUUUGCACAUCGCAGUAGUCUCCGAGCACAUGAAAGGACACACACUGGA